CCUACGGGUGGCAGCAGUGGGGAAUAUUGGACUAUGGGCGAAAGCCUGAUCCAGCCAUGCCGCGUGUGUGAAGAAGGCCUUCGGGUUGUAAAGCACUUUCAGUGGGGAAGAAAGCCUUGGGGCUAAUACCCUCGAGGAAGGACAUCACCCACAGAAGAAGCACCGGCUAACUCCGUGCCAGCAGCCGCGGUAAUACGGAGGGUGCGAGCGUUAAUCGGAAUUACUGGGCGUAAAGCGCGCGUAGGCGGUCUGAUAAGCCGGUUGUGAAAGCCCCGGGCUCAACCUGGGAACGGCAUCCGGAACUGUCAGGCUAGAGUGCAGGAGAGGAAGGUAGAAUUCCCGGUGUAGCGGUGAAAUGCGUAGAGAUCGGGAGGAAUACCAGUGGCGAAGGCGGCCUUCUGGACUGACACUGACGCUGAGGUGCGAAAGCGUGGGUAGCAAACAGGAUUAGAUACCCGUGUAGUC
RNAcentral lists this ribosomal RNA (465 nucleotides) under Vreelandella stevensii. RNAcentral's name for it is "partial 16S ribosomal RNA". It matches the Rfam family "Bacterial small subunit ribosomal RNA", at positions 338 to 795 of the family's 1533-position model. The record is from RNAcentral. Lineage: Bacteria; Pseudomonadati; Pseudomonadota; Gammaproteobacteria; Oceanospirillales; Halomonadaceae.